Molecule: unclassified non-coding RNA, 348 nt
Filed under: soil metagenome
Description: partial contains 5.8S ribosomal RNA, internal transcribed spacer 2, and large subunit ribosomal RNA
Rfam family: 5.8S ribosomal RNA (bases 1-120)
Source: RNAcentral
GAUGAAGAACGUAGCGAAAUGCGAUAAGUAGUGUGAAUUGCAGAAUUUAGUGAAUCAUCGAAUCUUUGAACGCACAUUGCGCCCCCUGGUAUUCCGGGGGGCAUGCCUGUCCGAGCGUCAUUGCCGCCCUCAAGCACGGCUUGUGUGUUGGGCCCCCGCCCCCCGGCUUCGGGGGGCGGGCCCGAAAGGCAGCGGCGGCACCGCGUCCGGUCCUCGAGCGUAUGGGGCUUCGUCACCCGCUCUGUAGGCCCGGCCGGCGCCCGCCGGCGACCCCAAUCAAUCUUUCCAGGUUGACCUCGGAUCAGGUAGGGAUACCCGCUGAACUUAAGCAUAUCAAUAAGCGGAGGA